UGGCUCAGGACGAACGCUGGCGGCGUGCUUAACACAUGCAAGUCGAACGAUGAAGCCUAGCUUGCUAGGUGGAUUAGUGGCGAACGGGUGAGUAAUACGUGAGUAACCUACCUUUAACUCUGGGAUAAGCCUGGGAAACUGGGUCUAAUACCGGAUACGACCAAUCUCCGCAUGGGGUGUUGGUGGAAAGCGUUAUGUAGUGGUUAUAGAUGGGCUCACGGCCUAUCAGCUUGUUGGUGAGGUAACGGCUCACCAAGGCGACGACGGGUAGCCGGCCUGAGAGGGUGACCGGCCACACUGGGACUGAGACACGGCCCAGACUCCUACGGGAGGCAGCAGUGGGGAAUAUUGCACAAUGGGCGCAAGCCUGAUGCAGCGACGCCGCGUGAGGGAUGACGGCCUUCGGGUUGUAAACCUCUGUUAGCAGGGAAGAAGAGAGAUUGACGGUACCUGCAGAGAAAGCGCCGGCUAACUACGUGCCAGCAGCCGCGGUAAUACGUAGGGCGCGAGCGUUGUCCGGAAUUAUUGGGCGUAAAGAGCUUGUAGGCGGUUUGUCGCGUCUGCUGUGAAAGGCCGGAGCUUAACUCCGUGUAUUGCAGUGGGUACGGGCAGACUAGAGUGCAGUAGGGGAGACUGGAAUUCCUGGUGUAGCGGUGGAAUGCGCAGAUAUCAGAGGAACACCGAUGGCGAAAGGCAGGUCUCUGGGCUGUAACUGACGCUGAGAAGCGAAAGCAUGGGGAGCGAACAGGAUUAGAUACCCU
This 761-nucleotide ribosomal RNA is filed under the name uncultured bacterium. Its description in RNAcentral is "bacterial SSU rRNA". It matches the Rfam family "Bacterial small subunit ribosomal RNA", at positions 20 to 788 of the family's 1533-position model. The record is from RNAcentral.